RNAcentral lists this ribosomal RNA (234 nucleotides) under uncultured bacterium. RNAcentral's name for it is "partial 16S ribosomal RNA". It matches the Rfam family "Bacterial small subunit ribosomal RNA", at positions 102 to 334 of the family's 1533-position model. The record is from RNAcentral.
ACGGGUGAGUAACACGUGGUCAACCUUCCCUACAGUGGGGGAUAACUAGCCGAAAGGUUAGCUAAUACCGCAUAACAUCUACGAGUGGCAUCAUUUGUAGAUCAAAGGAGCAAUCCGCUGAAGGACGGGACCGCGUCCCAUUAGUUAGUUGGUGGGGUAACGGCCUACCAAGACUCCGAUGGGUAGCUGGUUUGAGAGAGCGACCAGCCACACUGGGACUGAGAAACGGCCCAG